RNAcentral lists this ribosomal RNA (403 nucleotides) under Fusobacteriota bacterium. RNAcentral's name for it is "Fusobacteria bacterium partial 16S ribosomal RNA". It matches the Rfam family "Bacterial small subunit ribosomal RNA", at positions 355 to 776 of the family's 1533-position model. Lineage: Bacteria; Fusobacteriati; Fusobacteriota. The record is from RNAcentral.
UGGGGAAUAUUGCACAAUGGAGGGAACUCUGAUGCAGCGACGCCGCGUGAACGAAGAAGGCUUUCGAGUCGUAAAGUUCUUUUAUAUGGGAAGAUAAUGACGGUACCAUAAGAAAAAGCCCCGGCUAACUACGUGCCAGCAGCCGCGGUAAUACGUAGGGGGCUAGCGUUGUCCGGAAUCACUGGGCGUAAAGGGUUCGCAGGAGGAAAUGCAAGUCGAGUGUAAAAGGCAGUAGCUUAACUACUGUAAGCAUUUGAAACUGCAUAUGUUGAGAAGAGUAGAGGUAAGUGGAAUUUUUCGUGUAGCGGUGAAAUGCGUAGAUAUUAAAAAGAAUACCGGUGGCGAUGUCGACUUACAGGGCUCAUUCUGAGGUUGAGGAACGAAAGAGUGGGUAGCAAACAGG